Molecule: ribosomal RNA, 492 nt
Filed under: uncultured bacterium
Lineage: Bacteria
Description: partial 16S ribosomal RNA
Rfam family: Bacterial small subunit ribosomal RNA
Source: RNAcentral
AGUGAACGCUGGCGGUAGGCCUAACACAUGCAAGUCGAACGGCAGCACAGUAAGAGCUUGCUCUUACGGGUGGCGAGUGGCGGACGGGUGAGGAAUACAUCGGAAUCUACUUUUUCGUGGGGGAUAACGUAGGGAAACUUACGCUAAUACCGCAUACGACCUACGGGUGAAAGCAGGGGAUCUUCGGACCUUGCGCGAUUGAAUGAGCCGAUGUCGGAUUAGCUAGUUGGCGGGGUAAAGGCCCACCAAGGCGACGAUCCGUAGCUGGUCUGAGAGGAUGAUCAGCCACACUGGAACUGAGACACGGUCCAGACUCCUACGGGAGGCAGCAGUGGGGAAUAUUGGACAAUGGACGCAAGCCUGAUCCAGCCAUACCGCGUGGGUGAAGGAGGCCUUCGGGUUGUAAAGCCCUUUUGUUGGGAAAGAAAAGCAGCAGGUUAAUACCCCGCUGUUCUGACGGUACCCAAAGAAUAAGCACCGGCUAACUUCGUG